This 254-nucleotide ribosomal RNA is filed under the name uncultured bacterium. Its description in RNAcentral is "partial 16S ribosomal RNA". It matches the Rfam family "Bacterial small subunit ribosomal RNA", at positions 524 to 776 of the family's 1533-position model. The record is from RNAcentral.
CACGUAGGGGGCAAGCGUUGUCCGGAUUCAUUGGGCGUAAAGAGCUCGUAGGCGGCUCGGUAAGUCGGGUGUGAAACCUCCAGGCUCAACCUGGAGACGCCAUCCGAUACUGCCGUGGCUAGAGUCCAGUAGGGGAGCGUGGAAUUCCUGGUGUAGCGGUGAAAUGCGCAGAUAUCAGGAGGAACACCAGCGGCGAAGGCGGCGCUCUGGGCUGGAACUGACGCUGAGGAGCGAAAGCGUGGGGAGCGAACAGG